This 23-nucleotide ribosomal RNA is filed under the name Phaeoclavulina argentea. RNAcentral describes it as "partial 18S ribosomal RNA". Lineage: Eukaryota; Fungi; Basidiomycota; Agaricomycetes; Gomphales; Gomphaceae. The record is from RNAcentral.
UCGCAGUACUGCGGAGGACAUUA